AUUUGUUGCCAUACUUAUCACCAUUGACUGGAAUCUUUUGUGGAUCACGUAUUACAUAAGUCUUGUCCACAAAUAUGCAUCCAUAACAUCCAGAUAUUGUAAACCCAUUGCCGUUUAAAGAAUCCAACUGUUGCACAUGCAGCUGCACAAAAUAGGGAGAGAUUUUGAAGAAAAAGAAAUGAAGAAUAAAAUGAUUAGGGGAGGGAAAGAAAUCGAGAGGUUGAAGAAGGAGAGAGCAGUGGUGUCGUAAGAACAAGCAAAAGAGAGAGCUGAGAUGAAAAGAGUGGAAAAGAUGAGGAAUAGGAGUGAUGUUGCAAGAACAAAAUGAAGAGAGAAUAGUGAGCAGAGAUGAGAUGAGGAAGAGGAGAUGGGAGUUACUGCCAUAUGAGGAGUUGUUGGCCAGGGUUUGAAAUGUUUCUUAUGAAUAUAUAGUGAUAUUUUGAUGGCUCAGAUCUUCUCAAAUGGAUGGUUAGAUUUAGUGAUCUUUAAAAAAGAAAAAUAAAAUGUUGAAGGUGGGAUUUGAUCACAGGACAUCAAAGCAAUAUCAUACAGACUUAACCACUAAACCGAAAGGUGCCACAUGUUACGCAAAUCUUCAAAAUAGUCUUAUAUCGGUUUGGUUUGGUUCAACCGAAUUAUUUUUGUUCAAAAUUAUACCGAACCGAUUAAACUGAUUUUUUUCAAAAAUAAAAACUGAACCAAAUUACUUAAAAAACC
RNAcentral lists this unclassified non-coding RNA (717 nucleotides) under Hevea brasiliensis (rubber tree). Lineage: Eukaryota; Viridiplantae; Streptophyta; Magnoliopsida; Malpighiales; Euphorbiaceae. The record is from RNAcentral.